AUGACACGAAAAUCAAGGGAUAUUAGAUUGAGAACGGAUCCAAGGGUUGGGAUUGGUGAUAAUAACGUGCAAGGGUUUGUGGUAUUACUUCUUCCAUCUUAUAUUACAUUACUUACUUGAUUCUGACACAUAUUUUUUAUCUUUAAUAUCUUUAAUUAUUUAUUUAAAAAAAUUAUGAAAAAUUUAAUAUUUUAAAAUAUUCGUCGAAAAAAAUCCAAUAUCUUAUAUGAUAUUAUUUAUCUUUGUAUAUUAGUAUAAAAAUACGAUCAAAACAUGUCAGAUUAAAAGUAUAUAUUGUUAAACCGAUCAUCUGAUAAGGGACGGAGGGAGUAUUUUUUUAUGUCAUAAUAAUAAGACAAAGAUUGAUCAAUGAUGUGGUAGGAGGCAACUGAUGAUAAUGAUAUUAUUGUUAAUUGAAUAUUUAAUUUACCCAAUCAAACAUUGCUAUGUGCAUAUGGAAAAAUGUUUUGUUUUGUGUCCAUUUGUAAUUGUAAUGUAACGAUGUACAUCCGUCGGUCAUUAAUAUAAGCAAAAAUUUACCUUUUAGAUACAUUUAAUUAAUGAUGUAUGUGAUACAUAAUAAAGACCAUAAACAACAUUAAUUGAAUGUAUAUAAAGAGUGAAUUUUUGCUUAUACUAAUGACCGAAGGGUGUAUAAGUAAUUGAAUUUUAGUUUAAUUAUCAAGAUAUGGUUUCGAAAGUGGACACAGUCUGCCGACGUGUUGUUUUUGUUUUUUAUUGAGAUAUUAUUUUAAAUUUGGAUAAAGAAAUCAUGUUUUGCUUUUGAUGGGAAAUAUUGAAAGAUGAGGAGGACUUUUUGAUUUAGCAUGAAUCAGUCCUAAUCUGACUACUACCCAUGUUUUCACGCUGCUAAUUUUUAAUUAAUAAAAUCAAAAGGUAGUAUUAGGAGUAGUAGGUCAUAUUUUAGGGUUUAAAAUAGGGUGGCAAUAUAGGUGAUUGUAAUUUUUAUGUAGAUGGUAGGUACUGCCACUUGUUGAUUAUUAAUUACUAUUUCCUCCUUCUUUUUAUAGGACUUCAAUUUUUUGUAUUUUGCAUGAGUAAGAUUUGAUUUUAUUUUGUGUAUUGUUAGUGUAAAAUACUACCAAUAUGCACAUAGUAAAAGAAUGUUAUUUAUAAUCAGUGGCUGAUCUUGAGUUAUUUUAUUAGGGUGUCAACAUUUUAUGAAAUAAAUCUUAAGCUGUUUUAAAAAAUUGUUAAAAUUGUUCUUUAACAAAAAAUAUAUUAAAGUUGUUAACUAGUCUGGUGGUUUAUUUUGCUUGAAUUCAGCAUGGGGGUGCAAAUUUGAAUCCCCUCAAGAACAUUUGUUUGAACAAAAUAUCUAAAUAUAACUUAAAUAUGAAAAGGAGAUGGUUGAAGAGUUUUUUUUUAUCCGCCUGUAAGAAAAAUUAGUGUAUUUAUUAUGCUUAAUAUAAUAUAUAUAGAAAAUUUGGAGGAUAUCAUGGUUCUCAUGAAUUUGAAGAAAGAUAUGUCACCGCAUAUAUUUCGUAAACAUAAUUGCUUAACUUAUAUAUUUUUAAACAUGAUUUAACUUUGGACAUAAGCUAAAGAGUUUUUUAUAUGAUUUUUAUCAUCUUUAAUUAUAUUUUUAAAAGAAAAUAUGUAAAACUUAACCAUUUUUAAUAUUAAUAUUCAUUCUCUUCAAUAGUAUUAUAUUAUGGUUGAAAAGUGUUGAUAACACACACAUCACACAGUAGUAACUGGCUCUCACAUACAAUACAUAUUCUCUGCGUGGGCCAAUAAACUCAAAACGACUUAAGAGGAGAGAGUGGCAGUGGUCUGGGCUGGCAACUACCCAACCGGAAAGCGACUAGAGCACCCAAGUCUGACACGUGUCUUAACGAGGUUUCAUGGACCACAACAUAGUACUGCACAUAACAUAAUUUACUAGUGUGGGCCAAACAUAAUUGAAUCAUGUUCGUACAUUUGUAAAAAGCUGAGAAAGUUGUCACUGCUUGAAACACCACUGUCAACUAGACUGUGCUGCUGAUCUAACGUUUUAGAUUAGGGUAAGAGAUGCCGCCGGCAGUGGUACUGUUUGGCUUCGCUAGACAAACAAACAUGUAUAGCCUUUAAUCUACUUUGUUUUACUACUUUUUCCUGUUCAUUCUUUUUAAAUAUUUUUCUGUUUAUUUCUUUAAUUUUUAAAAUUUGAUUUUUUUUGUUCCAAAGUGAUAUGGUUUAGGGUUUCGACAUGAUUCAGACAAGAGAUCAUUCAUUUUGUUCAAACAAACAAUGGAUUGUUUUUGACAUGAACCUCCUUCUUCGACCUUGAGGCAAUGAGUGCAGGGGCGGAUGCUUUGAUAAGGGAGGGAUUUUUUUAGUGAGUAGGUAUAUAUUUAUAUUUGGCUACUUCUAAUAAUAUAUAUUUAACUAUCCCAAAUUUUAUUUUAAAUGAUUUUUUUUUUUCCAUCCUUAUUUAGUUCAUGUCGAACUUCGAAUUAUUUGAUCCCGUCAUAUAGGAACUUCGAAUUACAUUAAUUAUGUUUGUAGGUUAGCAGAGACGUUCUAUUCUUAUGAUUUUACUGAGCAAGAAAGAGCUCAUUUGAGGUUGCAAGUAAGUCAUUACAUUGCUAAUAUAUCUCAGUCUUUUCAAAAUUUAACAACACUCUUUGGUGCAAAAAAUUAGUAUAAUCGGGGAAAUCAAAGCAUUAUCAUUUAAUUGAUAUAUUGAUUCGUCUUGUUUUGACACUCCUAAUCUCCACAACAAGAGAGAGAGCUUUCUCAUCAAUGAAGAAUCUUGAGACAAAAUAAAGAAACAAAAUGAGUGAUGAUUUUCUUGCAAGUAGCUUGGUUAUUUACAUUGAAAAGGACAUUGCAAGUCGGUUUACCUGAGAUGCAAUUAUGGAUGAAUUUGAGUCUUUGAAGGGUGGUCGAGUUCAAUUUUUAUAAAUAGCUACUAUAUUAGUUUUUAUUUCUUUUGUGGUAGUUUUUUUGUACAAUCUGUUAUUCUACUGUGGUUUUUUUGCUAGAAUCUGUUAUUGUCUUAUUUUUGGUUUAAUCCGUUUUUGUUGAAUCAAGUGUAUAUUUUAUGAAGAACAUUUUAUAUAAGUAAUAAUUAUUGUGAGUUUUUUU
This 3093-nucleotide long non-coding RNA is filed under the name Medicago truncatula (barrel medic). Its description in RNAcentral is "long non-coding RNA (MTRU_LNC008545)". The record is from RNAcentral. Lineage: Eukaryota; Viridiplantae; Streptophyta; Magnoliopsida; Fabales; Fabaceae.